CCUGGCAUACAUUUUACAUUAUGCUCGCAGGUGUCAUGCGGUAAUUAAGGCUGUCAUUCUCGAAGGCUGUCAUAGGAAUUACAUCUAGUAAUUGUGUGUCCAUAAAAUGUUCAAUAACUAAAUAUAUGUUUUAGAAAGAGCUGGCAUUCUCUGCACGAUGCGACCUUCAGAAAUCAUUAGUGGACAGGGUCCUGAUAAUCGGUGCAUAACGAAAACUAAAGCAUUUGACCAAAAAUUAUAUUUUGACACAAACAAUAUACCAGGAGGCUGCCAUUAAGUGAGUUUUCAGUAUACCAGGAGGCUGCCAUUAAAAUACAACAGAUUACACAGAAAAUACAGACUAGGUCUACCUUCCCUCAAUAUUUUCGCACGAUUGUUUCUCAAUAGCUUAUUGGUGACAUGAAGAUAGAUUUUCUAUUAUCCAGUACCGCUAUGAUGAACAGUUUCAAGUUAUUACGUCAGUAUGGGCAACACAAUUCAAUGCUCCUACACAAGUACAAUUCUACAGUCGCUGCUGCACAACUAUCUGAUAUCAAAACCUCUAACCCUAAACCAUUUAAAGAUAUACCAGGACCUACAGGAAUAUACAAUAUACCAAAAAUUGGUGCUAUGUUUUUAUUUAAACCAUUUUCUAACUAUAACCAGGAACGUUUCCAUGAGGUACUGGACAAUGUGUGUGAUAAAUAUGGACCUAUAAUAAAAUUAUCCCUUAUGAAGUCCGCUGUAUUCACCAGCGAUCCCAAUGAUAUAGAAAUCGUCUAUAAAAAUGAAGGCAAAUAUCCAAUUAGACCAGGAUUGGGACUAUUCGAAGUUUAUAUUGAGAGAACUAAAAGACCCAAAAACCUAGGAAUUCUACAUGGCGAAAAAUGGGCUGAGCUUCGGCAUCAAAUACAGAAAAAGUUGGUGCGACCGAAAUCGGCUCUUCAUUACAUAGAAAGACAGUCAGAAGUGGCUACAGAUCUGGUUCAUAAAUUACAGAACACCCAUCCAGACCAGGUCCGAGAACUCUUAUUCCUAUAUGCCACCGAAUAAACGUAAUCACUGGGUGAUAGCAUUGAAUUGUGACCUAUGAUGAUGAGUUGGCGUGCACGUAAAAGAGCCCUUGAGAGUUGGAAUUGGUACUCAAUUGCUGCCUGUGUAAAAUUUCCAUUGGACCUACUGAAUAUUGGAUAUUAUGUAGACAUUUACGGGACUGUAGUGUCAAGUAUGCAGUUGGUUCAGGUUCAGGUUCAAUUUUUAAGCUGGCAUCAGCUAUAUCGGUCGUGUGUUUUGAUAGAAGAUUAGGUAUUUUAAGUGGAGUUGCAACCGAAGAGGUGAAGAAUUAUCUGGACAAUGUCAAGACGUUUUUUGUGUAUGUUAAUAAGGGAAGACUGGGCCUGCCUCUAUAUAAAUACUUUGAGACGCCGAUGUACAAGAAAUUCAAGAAAGCUGCAGAUGAAUCAUAUGGAUUCGGUCGAAUGCAGAUAGAAGAAGCUCUAAAUAAAUGUCUUCAAAUGAAGAAAAAUGGAACUUGGAAUCCAGAAGAACCCAAUUUUUUAAUGUCAUUGUUAGCAGCAGAGACUCUUACAAUAGACCAAAUCACUGGUUUGGUUAUUGAUCUAUUGAUUGCUGGCACUGACUCGACCGCUAAAAAUCUAGAGAAUUUCUUGGACUGUUUGGCGCGUUAUCCAGAAGUUCAGGAAACUCUGUACCAAGAGAUUAUAGAACACAUGGGCCAAAAUGGCGAUUUGACGGCCGAUAAUUUACCGAAGAUGAAAUAUUUAGUAGCUUGCUUGAAGGAAAGUUUCAGAUUACAUUAUCCUAUAUCUUUUGGAACUGUUAGAGCAUUACCUGUAGAUGUUGUAUUAAGUGGUUAUCAUGUACCAAAGGGGACAUUAAUUGGUUUAAAUAAUCGAAGAUUGCUUUUGGACCCCAAAUAUGUAAAAGAUCCAACCUUUUAUAGACCAGAAAGGUGGUUACGAGAUGAGAAAGGUGAAAGAGUUGAUCCUAUUCCUACAGUGGGUUUAACACCAUUCGGUAUUGGAGUUAGAAACUGUGUUGGUAGACGAUUCGCUGAACAAGAAAUUUAUUUAGCAAUUGCUAAGAUUGUUCAGAACUUUAAAGUUAGUCUGACAGGCGAAGUACCGCCACCAAAGAUUAUUUACCAAACAUUUGGAUUCCUUCAACAGAAAUCAAUGUUUAACUUUGAGAAGAGAAAAUGAAAAAAAUGCACACCUACGUUUCUGAGAAAAUCUGAAAAACGAAUCGGCUUAGUAACUGUUGUAUUAUAGAAUAUAUUUUAAAAUAGUAUUGCUUACUAAAAAAAUCCAGCCCUUCGUCCAUAUAUCAAUUGGGAGUUUUGAAUGCCACAUGAUAGUGGCGUUUUCAGUAUAAUUGGUCCAUCGCAGUCUCGUAUGGAUAAACGAUUUUUAAAGUAAGUUGUUGUAUAUUGUAUUGUAUAUAUCGGUAAUUAUUGUUUUAUAACAAGCCUAGCUGAGACAUAAAAUUGUUAGGUGUUGUCUUUUUUAUCACACACUUUUGGCAGAUAAAAUAUUCCAGUUGGUAAACAACUCAACAUGGGAAAUCACAGUCUCACAGAUAUACCUGAAUAUAUACACUACAACCAUCAAGACUUCAAAUCUUAAAAACUAUCGUUGUUUUAGCACAACACGUCCAUAUAAUUAAACUUUUAUUUUUCAAAUAUCCUCCAUUUUUUAAGGGAUUACUUUCAGACUUUUUGUAUGGAGUACCAUCAUAAACAUCAUUUGGAUUAAAUGUUUCGGGUCUGUAUGGAAUAUUGUAAAUACUGCAUCACAAUUUCCUUGAAACUGCUUUUGGUUUUCAGCAAUUUUUUAUAAUGAAUACACAUUGUUAUCAUUUGUAUUACUUCUUAAUUCAAGCCCUUGAAACUUUGUGCUUGGAAUCAUAAAGAUGCACUGACAAUUAAACAUUGGACAUUUUUAGUAAGUUUCAUAGUAAAAUAGUUUGUUAUAAAUUUUAUUCAAUAUUUAUUCAAACUCAACACAUUGUUUAAUCUUAGACUGUACACUAAUAGUCCACUAUUGAAUGUGAAAAGGUCCAGCUGAAUGGUUGAUUGGACAAUAUGAUGUGUUGCAAAUGGUACUCCAUAGAAAUGAAUUUGCUCCACAAAAAUUAUAUCUAGGUAACAAACCCUCAUAAUGCUUAUUAUUCUAACAUAAAUGAAUAAAAAUCUAUCCAAAAUUUAGAAACAAGCCUUUUUAC
This is an RNA transcript of Patella vulgata (common limpet), 3222 nucleotides long. It is a transcript of the gene named cytochrome P450 10, with no coding region annotated. Lineage: Eukaryota; Metazoa; Mollusca; Gastropoda; Patellidae. The transcript is spliced from 13 exons. The record is from RefSeq and is a predicted model, not a curated record.